This 3881-nucleotide long non-coding RNA is filed under the name Pan troglodytes (chimpanzee). RNAcentral describes it as "long non-coding RNA NONPTRT006703". The record is from RNAcentral. Lineage: Eukaryota; Metazoa; Chordata; Mammalia; Primates; Hominidae.
CGGCGCUGCUCCGGGAGCCGGCUCUGCUGCAGGUGCGAGAUCUGAGCCAGCGAGGGCGCGGCGUGGGGGAGGCGCGAGUCAGCUCCUUGGCUUGGGUGGGCCCCUCUCCGCCUCUCCGCUCUACGCAUGCGCUCCUACCUGAGCCGAGCCUACAAUCCAAACCUCCUUCGCCCAACUCUGCCCGCCACAGAUGCCCCUGGGCUCCCCUCCAGACCCUACCCCGCAUCCCCGCCAGCCUGAAGCUCCUGCGCACCUGGGCUGGGGGAGCCGGUCGGCACCCCCGGAGUCGGAGCAUAACCGCCGCUCGGAGUUGCCACAGCGACGGGGAGGAUCUCGAUGGAGACAGCAUCCCCCGGCCCCCGCAGGAUACGGAUUAACCCCUUCUCCUCCAGCUCCUCCACCUUCAGCUCCAGGGCCGAGGGCCGCGUCGGGGCAGCGGGAGGCGCUUUCUCAGGCUCUGGGGGACGCCUGGAGGCGCCCAUGGCGGUCGAUUCGCUGAAGCGCUCCUACGAACCCCACGGGAGGGGUCAGUGCCCACCAGCAGGCUCCUUGGCACCAAGCCCCCAUCCUCUUCCCGGGGUGGAGGGAGAUGUCAAGCCUAGAAGCCUCAGCUGGCCUGUUCUUGGGCGCCUGGCCUACCACCCGCCCCAGCCUCACCCGCAGGGUCUCCAACUCCUUGCGCGCCUGGCUUAGCUGUUUUUCCAGUUCUGCAAUCUUGGCCAUGGAUUCGUUCUCCGCGUCCCGAAGCCGCUCUGUCAGCUGUAGCACCAGCACAUGUUCCUCCAUGUGCUCCAGCACAGCGUUCUUGGUCUCUGUGUCCUCCAGCAGCGCCCCCACAUCAAAAAUAUUGUCCAGGUACGCCUGGAUCUGCACCUGCAGCUUGUCACUCUCGGUGAGCCGAAGCCUCUGUCCCCCAGAUGGAAGGAGUGGGGUGAGGCCUGGUGUGUGUUGGGGGGGGAGUCUUUCCAAACCACCCCCCUGCCACCACUGCCAUCCAGAGGAAGGGGCCUGAGCCCUAGCCUACUUUUUCUUUAUUUUUUAAGAUACAAUUCACAAAUCAUAAAAUCCAUUUAAAGUGUACAAUUCAGUCAUUCUUAGUAUAGCCACAAGGUUGUGCAACCAUCACCAUUAUCUAAUUCCAGAACAUUGUCAUCAGCCCAAAAAGAAACCCCAUAGGCGUCAGCAGUCACUUGCCAUUCUCUCCUCCCCCAGUCCCUGGCAACCACUAAUCUACUUUCCAUCUUUAUGGAUUUACCCAUUCUGGACAUUUCAUAUAAAGCAAUCAUAGAUAGCUGGGUGAGGUGGCUCAUGCCUGUAAUCCCAGCACUGUGGGAGGCUGAGGCAGACGGAUCACCUAAGGUCAGGAGUUCAAGACCAACCUGGCCAACGUGGUGAAACCCCCGUCUCUACCAAAAAUACAAAAAUUAACCGAGUGUGGUGGUGGGCGCCUAUAAUCCCAACUACUGGGGAAGCUGGAAAAUCACUUGAACCCGGGAGGCAGAGGUUGCAGUGAGCCAAGAUCGUGUCACUGCACUCUAGCCUGGGCAACAGAGCAAGACUCCAUCUCAAAAAAAAAAAAAAAAAAAAGCAAUCAUAGAGUACGUGACCUUUUGUGUCUGGCUUCUUUCACUUAGCAUGUUUUCAAGGCUCACCCAUGUUGUACCAUGUGUCAAUACUUCAUUCCUUCUUGUGGCUGAAUAAUAUUCCAUUGCACAGAUAGACCCCCCCGCCAGCCUGCUCUCUACCUUUUGUUAAUCCUGGCUUUCAAAAAUCCAACCCCGAAAGCCCCGCUCCUCCAGGAAACCUCCCAAAGGAAGCAGAGAAGGAGCUGCAGCUUCUCUGCUCAGCCUGGGCCAGGAAGCACCAAGCAGCUCUGCCCACCUUCCCCAGGGCAGGGAACUCCUCCAUGUCCUGGGCCCAUCCAGCAUGAGCCAACUCCUGCUUCUACCCUGUAUCUCUGGGUUCCCCGUUAUAUGCUGGAGUCAGAGCACCUGUCUGAGGCUGGUGCUCCCAGAGCCAGACUCUGGGCCACCUUGACCUGUUCUGGUGCCUGCAAAAACAGUUCCAUAGACUGGGGGCCUGGUAUGUGCCAGGCACUGGUCUAUGCAUUUAGAGUCAAGAUUAUCUUCUAUGAUUCUCCUAUUUGACAGAUGGCAAAACUGACACUGAGAGAGAGGAAGAGGCCUAUCCAAGGUCACAUGGCAGGAAAUGGCAGAGCCAGGAUUUAAACCCAGGUCUGCCUGACCCCAGCACUCAUGCUGCUAACCACUCAGCCAUACUCUGCCGUGGGCAGGCAGUUCAGUCUGGGGGGCAGUACAGGGCUUACCUCCAAGUACAGGUCCAGGCCCAAGUGGGUGAACUCAUAUUGCAGGAAGACACGGAAGUUCAUGUUCUCCACCGAAUGUACCACAAUGUUGAUGAACUGCAUGCAGGCCACCUGGGAGCCAGGGACAUGGGGAGAUCUAUGAUCCUCUAGGUGGGGUUGCUCAAUGCCUUCCACCUCCACUUACCCCAAGCCUCCCUCCUUCUCCACAGUUCUCACUCCACUAACUCCCAGCCUUGGCCUGCCUAACAUUUCACCUCCAUGUUCCCUCAAUCCAGCCCCCUGCCAACCUCCACCCUUCCCCUACUGACCACUCAGUCCUUACGCUUUGCGGGGGCAGAGCCCAUUGCCCAGCACCCAGGACCCUAGCUGCUCCCUGCACCCAAGAGGGCCUGGCCCAGGCCUCAGGCUGCUGGGCUCCUGAGCUCACCAUGAAGUCGAUGUUGCUGUCCUCAUUCCGGAAAUAUUCCAUCAGCUUUUCAAAGCGGUGCUGCUCCCCACACACCUGGGUAAGGGGAAUGGCUCUCACUGAGGCCCAGUGACACAUGUCCUAAGCUACCUUCUGGCUGCCACACCUGUGCUUCAACAGGCUCCUCUCCAGUUAAUUCUAAGUUGAGCCACGUCACUCUUCUGCUCAAAACCUCCACUCCCUCUCAAUCUCCCACUCUCCCUCACUUUUUCCACUCUGGCUACACUGGCAUCCUGGCACAUUCCCACCCCAGGGCCUUUGCACUUACUGUUCCAACUCCCUGGAGUGCCCUCACUCCCACACCAAGUCCCUUGCUUCCUUCACAGUUUUGCUGAAAUCUCACUUGCUCAGUGAGGCCUUCCCUGACCACCCUGCAACCAAUUCCCCCUCCCUCUGCAACAUUGCUGGCUUUUUUCUCACAGCAUUUAUCAUUUCCUAACAUACUAUGUAAUGUGCUUGUUUAUUAUAUCAUUUCUGUCUUUCCCUAUAUGGUUUCCUUUGUUCACUGAUGUGCCCAAGUGCCCUGUUCCUGACACAUAGUAGGCACUCAAUAAAUAUUCAUUAAAGGAAUGAAUGAAUGAAGAUAUCUUGUCUUAUGCAUCUUAUGCAGCCCCACACAUCUACUUCUUGCAAGCCUCUUAGCCAGAGUCUGCAACUCCUGGAGGUAUGAACCAAGGCUAGUUUGGAUCUGGCAAGGCUGAGGUUCAGCAGGUCCCUGUAGUUGUCCCUACCCCCACCCAGGUGGUGCCCUUACCUGACCCUGUACCUUCCAUUCAGAUUGCUGAGCCAGUGAUGUGGCUCAACUUCAACUUUUGGGCGUUCCCCAAAUGCCCACCCAAUGUCCCCAGCUGCCUCUAGCAAAGGCCACAACUGCCAACAACAAGACUCCAAGCAACACCAUAGGGGGAAAUGCAUGUUUGGGUGAGGGACUCCGGUACCUCCUUGAAGUUGUCAAAGGCUGCAAGGAUGAUGUCAUGUCCUCCCCGCACCAAGCACACGGCCGCCAGCAGCUCCAGCACCAGAGCCUUGGUUCUGGAGAGAGAAGGGGCAGGUUGUCCCUUGAGAACAGUCAGGACCCGCAGCAAGGGU